CACAAACAGAUUGCUGCCAUUGGUACUGUGUCAAAUGUGAUCGGACCACCCACCGGAUCAUCUCCCUCACCAUCUUCGCCGACGACCGCCUCACCGGCCAAAUCCCACCGGACGUCGGCGAUCUUCCAUUUCUUCAAACCCUCAUGUUCCAUAAACUCCCAAAUCUCACCGGCCCCAUCCAACCCACCAUAGCCAAACUCCAAAACCUCAGAUUCCUCGACCUCAGCUGGAACAGUCUCUCCGGCAACAUCCCCGAAUCCCUCAGCACUCUCAAGAAUCUCUUCGAUCUCGACCUCUCAUUCAACAAACUCACCGGAAAAAUCCCAAGUUCUCUCUCCCAACUCCCCAAUUUGGGCGGUCUCCGAUUGGAUCGGAACCAAUUAACAGGACAAAUCCCUGAUUCCUUCGGCUACUUCCCUGGAGAACAACCCCCAUCUUUGAUUCUUUCACACAAUCAACUUUCUGGGAACAUCCCUUCUUCUUUGUCAAGAUUGAACUUCACUUCCAUUGAUUUCUCCCGCAAUAAGCUUGAAGGCGAUGCGUUUAUGUUCUUCGGCGCUAACAAAAUGAUCCAGAUUCUUGAUUUGUCGAGGAAUUUGUUGGAAUUUAACUUGUCGGAG
This 620-nucleotide unclassified non-coding RNA is filed under the name Hevea brasiliensis (rubber tree). The record is from RNAcentral. Lineage: Eukaryota; Viridiplantae; Streptophyta; Magnoliopsida; Malpighiales; Euphorbiaceae.